AUGGUAAAUGAGAGCCAGGCGGGUAUGGUAGAAGCUCCCUCCAGGAGGCUCUAGACGACUUGCCUGCUGGUAGCACCCUGCAGCCGACUGGAAGUCACCCAGACACAGGUAGGCCUCACCCUGGCUCCCAUACAGCUGGGCCUAAAACAUUAUAUCAAACAAUAUAACACGAUAAAACACAACAAAACACAUACCAAGAUGUAUGAUAUAGUGUGUAUGGGAGCCAGGGAGAGGGCUACCUGUUGAGUUAUAUUGUAUUUUUGUUAUAUUAUCGCACAACACAACACAAUAUAAUUAAGCAAUAUCACACAAAAGGGAUUACUGUUGUACUGAAUAUCAGCACAUGUUGUGGUGUCAGCAGUCUGCUGUGUUUUCCUCCGCCUGGUCUGCCACUCCUCCUGUCUGUCUCACCUCACACCUGGCCCUCAUCUACAAUCAUGCUCACCUGGUCUUCAUCCCCAAUCAACCCCCUUCAUAAACCCUUGGAUUCCCUGCUGUCGGCGCCAGAUCGUACUACGCACUACCGUGUUACCCGGAUCACUCACUCCAGCUCGCCCACCUCGCUCUUCCCCCGGCUCCCUCAUCCACUACCUGCUUCCCACUUCAGUAAACCCCUUUUUAUCCCUUCAACAUCGUCUCUCUCUGCUCUUGGGUUCAGCAUCGUCUAUAAUAACAGCGCGGCUGUGAUUCGGUCGAGGCCAUUAGCUACGAGGCCAUAGGCCGGGUGCCGAAGAUAAUCACAGCCGUGCUGAUAUUCAGUAGGCCUACAACAGCAUGAACUCGAGGGUGAUGUUGGGUUGCUAAUAAAUGGUGCUUGUAGAUCUGUUGUAUAAAAGCAAUAUCCAACCUGGUCUCACAGGAAUCCGUGAAAUGACUACGGUCGGACGCUUAACUCGAAAUCCGUGGCCACAUCACGGAAACACGCCGAUAUCCGUGUGUGAGCCACGGAAUAACAGUGUCAUUUACUUGCAUUGGAGCAAAUUCCGUGGCCACAUCACGGACAAUUGAAGUGAUUCCGUCAGACCACCACGGAUUUUGAGUUAAGCCCCCGCUGUGGUCACAUGUGGCACACACAGAUUGAAACGGGAGCACACACACAGAUUGAAACGGGAAUCUGUUUGUGUGCCACGGAAUAUCAUUGUGAUUUACUUGCAUUAUUCCUCAUUUUCUGACAUUAUUCCCUAGCAACUUCCGUGGACACAAGGACAAUUUGUGUGUUUCAGUGAGACCACCCCGGGUUUUGAGUUAAGACCCCGUGGUCGACUCGCUCGUUGAAACGGGGAUCUGUGUGUGAGCCACGGAACAUCAGCGUCAUUAACUUGCAUUGGAGCGAAUUCCGUGGCCACAUCACGGAAAUCGGCGUGUUUCCGUGAUGUGUCCACGGAUUUCGAGUUAUUCGUCCGUAGUCAUUUCACGGAUUCCUGUGAGACCAGGUUGUUUAUUAGACAACAGUAAUAAGCAACACCGGGAUUAUGAUAUGUCUGUUCAUUUAAUGAUUUAUUUGGCUCCACCCAACACAAAUAGAACCGCAACUGGACUGGGACUGGGCCCCGCUUCCCGAAAGCAUCGUUGGUCUAAGUGGAUCGUGAAGUGCGUCGUACGAGCAUCGUACAGUUAAAAAUUCAAAUCAAAUGAUUCCAUUGCUCUUGUGUGGGAGGUCGCUUUCGAGGUUAAAAUUUCCUCAUAUUGAUCAAUGACAGAUGACAUAGGCUACUGUAGACAUGCAUCAUGCUGAGACCAGCACUGUAGGCGCUUCGGUGCAACCCGGUAUCACUCGAUUUCGUGCUCAUGCGCACAAACGUUAAUCUGUGCGCAUCGCGUCCCAGAUCACGAUUGUCCGACUUUUUUAGUGCUGCACAGAACGAAAUGUAAACCAAUGCAUUCUGAAUGGGAGCGUUCUCAGACAAUUAACGUCGUUUUUGAGAAGGUCUGCUUACAAAUCAGAAAUGUUGACAUAUAUAUAACUAGAUAAUAAUAUAUACAGAUAUAUAACUAGAGGGUGCACUGUACUAUCUGCGCUCACCCCUUCUGAAGCUUCUCUCUCUCGCUCUCUCUCUCUGUCCCUCCCUUUCUCUCUUUCUCUCUCUCGUUUCGUUUUUUGGAGCACGUCAAUUGUCGGAGAACGCUCCAAUUCAGAAUGCAUUGGUUUACAUUUCGUUCUGUGUAGCACUAAAAAAGUCGGACAAUCGUAAUCUGUCAUCAUACGUGAACUCAUUAUUGCAUGUGGCCUGGGUGUCUUCAUUCAUAAAAAAAUUAAAAAAUUCGGGAGUGCAACAAUGCAAAUUAUUCUAAAGAGGUCAGAGACUCCGUGCGCAGCCCCGCCUUCUAUGGAGGUAGAUUUGUGUCUUUAUUAUGCAAUCAAACAGAAUAGGUUUGAGAGCAAAACCUUCCACACUGCAAUCAAAAAAUAGAUUUGAGAGCAAAACUAUCGACACUGCAUCAAAAAAUGUUUUAUUGCAAGUAAAAUAAAAAAAUAUUAAUGGGAAUCCAAAAGUUUUGUUUGCAAAUCCAAAAGUUUUGUUUGCGAAUCCAAAAGUUUUGUUUGCGAAUCCAAAAGUUUUGCUUGCGAAUCCAAAAGCUUUGCUUGCGAAUCCAAAAGCUUUGCUUGCUGUUGAGCUGAAUCUCGUGGGCGGGACCAACGCCGAAAGAUGUAAGACACGUCUCUAUUGGCCAGUCUCGAUCGGAGUGACAGCUUGGCAACAUCCACAGUUAGUAACGAGAGAGGGAGUUUUGAAGACCAUGAUGAGACAGCGGGACUCGGGAGCUGAGAGGCCAGAAAAUCAAUGGGCAGGCACUGGUGUAGUCCAGGGUAUACACGGGUAUACGGCGUAUACCCACUUAUUUUUCAGUCAUCAUUGCUCAUACCCACUUCUAAAUCCCCCAAGAUGCGCACCAUUCAGUAGUAUCUGCAUUCUGCAAGCCAAAUUGCCCACUUUUUUGCGUUCACACCAAACGCGACGGGGCGACAAGAUCCCAUACAAGUGAACGUAGGGACGCGUAUCGGGCGAUUUUUUUGCGAGAGAAAACCGGCGACAAGUUUUGAUUUGUCGCGCCACACUUUCGCCGUGCACAGGUGAGCGCGUUCACGAGGAUUUGUGCAGCGACAAAUUCGCUCGAGUUGAAAUAUUUCAACUUUGACGUGAAUUUCCCGCGAUGACAGCCAAUCAGCAUUCAACAGCGUGGCCACUGAGUGACAUAUGUAACGUAACAGCCAAUCAGCGUUCAACCGUCAAACUCAGUGCAGUGCAGCCCGGGGUGAACUGCAGCAUGGAGGAGAAAGUGAUUGUUGUCGUUUGCGACUCCCGGAGCUCUAUAUAUAAUAGUAUAUAAUUCUAAAUAUAAUAUCACGGCCAAAAGCUCUGUGAGCCAUGACCCACGCUACUCUGCCUCUUAUUGGCUAAUACUCGCUGCCUUUACUGAUUCGAUUGUUGAAUAAUUUGAAUGAUGAUGUUCAAUCAUCAUAUGACAUUUAUAUAUAUAUUGAUAUUAUAUAUAUCUAACGAGAUGAUUGAUGUGGAAGAGAAUGAUGUGCGUUUUUUCUAAUCUAAGGUGAAAUAUGAAUAAGGAUGCAUUGUCAAAUUCAGAUCUGAAGUAUUUUAUUUAAAUACAUUUUCAAAAAAUUACUGAAACACCAUGUUUGCCUCAUCUAUAUUUUACAUUCUGCCUGUGUGACCAGUAAUACCUACAAACUGCUCCUUAUCAAGUCAUGUUAAUUUUAUAACAGUGGCCCACUCUGGCCCAUGCUAUGUGUUGCAAAUCAGCUGUUCAAAGACACAGUUUACAAAAUAAAUUACUGACCUGCCAAGUGAGAGAAUAGGUGUCAUUCCAGGAAUAAGGAAUAGUUCACUCCAAAUGCAUAGUUGUCUGUCACUAGUCUGUGGGCGAGUAUUGGUUUAGUGAUUUCAUAAUACUUCCUCCUUGAGAUUAAGCAGCAGAAAUUAUGUGACAAUGAGCAAAUACUACGGAAGGAUUUAUGGGUAAACUAAAUAGAGUAGUCUCACAUGAGCAAGGUACGUUUUAUUACUCUACUAUUUCUCAGUUUUCUGGGAAUAAUUGACAUAAGCAGAAACCAAAAACCAGCCGUUUUUUCGUUUCGUCAAAAAAAACGAAAAUCUAAAUUUCAGUUCGUUUAUUCGUUUUUUGGUUCUUAACAAAACGAAUUUACCACUCAAUAUCUGGUUUCCGCCGGUGGGCGGGUCCUCUUAUUGGCUAGUGUGCUUCGUUGCCCUGUGCUCUUCAAAAUAAAAGUUAUUCUGUUUGAUAAUGUCG
Molecule: long non-coding RNA, 4269 nt
Organism: Gadus morhua (Atlantic cod)
Lineage: Eukaryota; Metazoa; Chordata; Actinopteri; Gadiformes; Gadidae
Source: Ensembl